Erinaceus europaeus (western European hedgehog) is the source of this 555-nucleotide long non-coding RNA. RefSeq lists it as uncharacterized. The transcript is spliced from 3 exons. The record is from RefSeq and is a predicted model, not a curated record. NCBI's taxonomy places the organism in Eukaryota, Metazoa, Chordata, Mammalia, Eulipotyphla, Erinaceidae.
UGCUGCUCACCUCCAGUCAAAUCCACUAGAGAGGAAGGAGACCCAUGCUGGACCUGUGCGAAACCAUCCCACUGCCUUUUAUACCAAAGUCAACAGGAAAGGAAAACAGUCACAAGAAUGAGCCACCAAGCUGCAGAUAUGAUCAUGAUGCCAACCUGACUUCCCUCGGCAGAUGACCUCACCAAUGUGUCCUGGAAACCCACCUCUCCAGAGCCAUGCCCCAGUUGGGAAAGACAGAAACCGGCUGGGAUGGGGCCACCAGGUUCCAGAUGAUACCAUGAUGCCAGCCUGACUUCCCUGGGAAGAUGACCCCACCAUGUGUCCUGGAAUCCCACCUCCCCAGAUUCCUGCCCCACUAGGGAAAGAGAGAGACAGGGUGGGAGUAUCGACCUGCCAACCCCCAUGUUCAGCAGGGAAGCAAUUACAGAAGCCAUACUUCCCACCUUCUGCACCCUAUAAAGACCCUGUGUCUAUAUUCCCAGAGGGAUAAAGAAUAAGAAAGCUAUCAAAGGUGGGGAUUGGAUACGGAGUUCUGGUGUUGGGGAAUUGUGUGGA